CCUACGGGUGGCAGCAGUGGGGAAUAUUGGGCAAUGGGCGCAAGCCUGACCCAGCAACGCCGCGUGAAGGAAGAAGGCUUUCGGGUUGUAAACUUCUUUUCUGAGGGACGAAGAAAGUGACGGUACCUCAGGAAUAAGCCACGGCUAACUACGUGCCAGCAGCCGCGGUAAUACGUAGGUGGCAAGCGUUAUCCGGAUUUAUUGGGUGUAAAGGGCGUGUAGGCGGGAAAGCAGGUCAGAUGGGAAAACUCAGGGCUUAACCCUGAACCUGCAUUUGAAACUGUUGUUCUUGAGUGCUGGAGAGGCAAUCGGAAUGCAGGGUGUAGCGGUGAAAUGCGUAGAGAUCCGGAGGAACACCGGUGGCGAAGGCAGAUUACUAGACAGUAGCUGACGCUGAGGCACGAAAGCGUGGGGAGCAAACAGGAUUAGAUACCCGUGUAGUC
Molecule: ribosomal RNA, 443 nt
Filed under: uncultured bacterium
Lineage: Bacteria
Description: partial 16S ribosomal RNA
Rfam family: Bacterial small subunit ribosomal RNA
Source: RNAcentral